Molecule: ribosomal RNA, 367 nt
Filed under: uncultured Polaromonas sp.
Lineage: Bacteria; Pseudomonadati; Pseudomonadota; Betaproteobacteria; Burkholderiales; Comamonadaceae
Description: bacterial SSU rRNA
Rfam family: Bacterial small subunit ribosomal RNA
Source: RNAcentral
UGCUCGAAAGAGAACCGUAACACAGGUGCUGCAUGGCUGUCGUCAGCUCGUGUCGUGAGAUGUUGGGUUAAGUCCCGCAACGAGCGCAACCCUUGUCAUUAGUUGCUACAUUCAGUUGGGCACUCUAAUGAGACUGCCGGUGACAAACCGGAGGAAGGUGGGGAUGACGUCAAGUCCUCAUGGCCCUUAUAGGUGGGGCUACACACGUCAUACAAUGGAUGGUACAAAGGGUCGCCAACCCGCGAGGGGGAGCCAAUCCCAUAAAGCCAUUCGUAGUCCGGAUCGCAGUCUGCAACUCGACUGCGUGAAGUCGGAAUCGCUAGUAAUCGUGGAUCAGAAUGUCACGGUGAAUACGUUCCCGGGUCUU